This 253-nucleotide ribosomal RNA is filed under the name uncultured bacterium. RNAcentral's name for it is "partial 16S ribosomal RNA". It matches the Rfam family "Bacterial small subunit ribosomal RNA", at positions 524 to 776 of the family's 1533-position model. The record is from RNAcentral.
UACGUAGGGUGCGAGCGUUAAUCGGAAUUACUGGGCGUAAAGCGCGCGCAGGCGGUCCUUCAAGUCAGGGGUGAAAGCCCAGAGCUCAACUCUGGAACUGCCUUUGAGACUGUAGGACUUGGGUAUGGGAGAGGUGAGUGGAAUUCCGAGUGUAGAGGUGAAAUUCGUAGAUAUUCGGAAGAACACCAGUGGCGAAGGCGACUUACUGGACACAUAUUGACGCUGAGGUGCGAAAGCGUGGGGAGCAAACAGG